This 497-nucleotide ribosomal RNA is filed under the name uncultured bacterium. Its description in RNAcentral is "partial 16S ribosomal RNA". It matches the Rfam family "Bacterial small subunit ribosomal RNA", at positions 28 to 507 of the family's 1533-position model. The record is from RNAcentral.
GAUGAACGCUGGCGGCAUGCCUAACACAUGCAAGUCGAGCGGACAGACGAGGAGCUUUCCCCUCUGACGUUAGCGGCGGACGGGUGAGUGACACGUGGCUGACCUACCUAUAAGGCUGGGAUAACUUCGGGAAACCUGAGCUAAUACCGGAUAAUAUAUUGAACCGCAUGGUUCAAUAGUGAAAGACGGUUUUGUUGACACUUAUAGGUUGACGCGCGCCGCAUUAGCUAGUUGGUAAGGUAACGGCUUACCAAGGCAACGAUGCGUAGCCGAUCUGAGAGGAUGAUCCGCCACACUGGAACUGAGACACGGCCCAGACUCCUACGGGAGGCAGCAGUAGGGAAUCUUGGACAAUGGGCGAAAGCCUGACGCAGCAACGCCGCGUGAGUGAAGAAGGUCUUCGGAUUGUAAAGCUCUUUUAGUAGGGAAGAAAUAAUGUGUAUUUAACCAGGCACGUCUUGACGGUACCAACAGAGAAAGCAACGGCUAACUACGUG